RNAcentral lists this ribosomal RNA (428 nucleotides) under uncultured bacterium. Its description in RNAcentral is "bacterial SSU rRNA". It matches the Rfam family "Bacterial small subunit ribosomal RNA", at positions 355 to 775 of the family's 1533-position model. The record is from RNAcentral.
UGGGGAAUUUUGGACAAUGGGGGCAACCCUGAUCCAGCCAUGCCGCGUGAGUGAAGAAGGCCUUCGGGUUGUAAAGCUCUUUCGGUAGGAACGAAACGGUUACGGCUAAUACCCGUGACUACUGACGGUACUUACAGAAGAAGCACCGGCUAACUACGUGCCAGCAGCCGCGGUAAUACGUAGGGUGCGAGCGUUAAUCGGAAUUACUGGGCGUAAAGCGUGCGCAGGCGGUCUCGUAAGCUGGGUGUGAAAGCCCCGGGCUUAACCUGGGAACGGCAUUCAGGACUGCGAGGCUCGAGUGUGGCAGAGGGAGGUGGAAUUCCACGUGUAGCAGUGAAAUGCGUAGAGAUGUGGAGGAACACCGAUGGCGAAGGCAGCCUCCUGGGCCAGCACUGACGCUCAGGCACGAAAGCGUGGGGAGCAAACAG